Molecule: unclassified non-coding RNA, 318 nt
Filed under: Hevea brasiliensis (rubber tree)
Lineage: Eukaryota; Viridiplantae; Streptophyta; Magnoliopsida; Malpighiales; Euphorbiaceae
Source: RNAcentral
ACAAGAACACAAAAGAAGAAAAAGGCCAAAAAGUUGCUAGCUUCUUGAACUAAUUGAAGCAAGCAUCUGUUUUAGAGAUUUCAGAAAUGAGAAAACCCAAAUUUUCAGUAGGGACUUUGAUGGCCUGAGAUAAUGCAAGCCAUAUUUAUAAAAUAUUAAGAAGUAUUUAAAAUUAUCCUAUUCCUUUCUCCUAGUUACCAGAGUCUAAGCUCGCCUACAUCAGUUAGCAAAACAUUAACUCUACAAUAUUCAUUCCUACACUAAACACAAAAACCCUACAUCUGAAACCCAGGAGCCCCCUGAAAUAUGUUGAAGCAG